UAUGACAUCACAGCCACUGACAGUAAAUUCAACUUCCUUUUUUCAGCUUGAGUGGAUUGGGCUUGCAGGUUGCUAGCUGAGGUGUCAUGGCCCUGAAAGGCUGCCUUGUAUCGGCUUAGUGGGGAUUGGAAUCCUUUACAUCUUGAUCCAAGUUUUGCUGCACUGGGAGGAUUUCAGAAGCCAAUACUUCACGGACUAUGCACCUUUGGGUUUGCUGCUAGAAACGUCUUGAAGCAGUUUGCAAACAAUGAUGUGACUAGAUUCAAGGCAAUCAAGGUCUGUAAGUUUGUUAUUAGCCAUUAAU
Molecule: non-coding RNA, 304 nt
Organism: Meleagris gallopavo (turkey)
Lineage: Eukaryota; Metazoa; Chordata; Aves; Galliformes; Phasianidae
Source: RefSeq, a predicted model, not a curated record